This 404-nucleotide ribosomal RNA is filed under the name uncultured bacterium. RNAcentral's name for it is "partial 16S ribosomal RNA". It matches the Rfam family "Bacterial small subunit ribosomal RNA", at positions 28 to 526 of the family's 1533-position model. The record is from RNAcentral.
GACGAAUGCUGGCGGCGUGCUUAACACAUGCAAGUCGAGCGGAGCGGCGAACGGGUGAGUAACGCGUGAGUAACUGCCCCCCUCUCUGGGAUAACAGUUGGAAACGGCUGCUAAUACCGGAUAGUGGGGGAUGACUCGCGUCCUAUCAGCUUGUUGGUGGGGUAGGGGCCUACCAAGCGGACGCCGGGUAGCCGGCCUGAGAGGGCGACCGGCCACAUGGUGCUGAGAUACGGCGCAAACUCCGACGGGAGGCAGCAGUGGAGAAUAUUGCACAAUGGGGGAAACCCUGAUGCAGCAACCCGCGUGCGGGAUGACGGCUUUGUGGUUGUAAACCGCGUUCAGCCAUGACGCGGUAGUGGCAGAAGAAGCACCGGCUAACUACGUGCCAGCAGCCGCGGUAAUUC